Marmota monax (woodchuck) is the source of this 3702-nucleotide long non-coding RNA. RefSeq lists it as uncharacterized. The record is from RefSeq and is a predicted model, not a curated record. NCBI's taxonomy places the organism in Eukaryota, Metazoa, Chordata, Mammalia, Rodentia, Sciuridae. The transcript has 5 exons.
AGCUAGGAAGUUCAUUGGUCUCGGGCCGUGUCAAUCAUCACUGCUCUACAAUGGUGAGGAGAGGAGACCCAGGAAGGAGAGCAGGCUCCUGGGAGGCAUUGCAGGAAAGAGACAGGCUUCCAGGUGCCGGUGGGAAGGACAGAAAGGAUGGAGGCAGACUCUGCAGAGAGGGUGUCACACCCCACCUGUCCCCCAGGACUCCCAGCUGCCGAAGAGCAGCUGGACACGAUAUUCCUAGCCUGCUCAGGGUGUGACAUUAGUGCAGAAGCCUUUCCCCAAGUACAGGGGCAAACCAGAGAGCCAGCAAAACCAGCCUAGAGCUGGCACUUCAUGCACUUGGUGUCCAGGUCGGUGACUUUGACGUUAUUCUUCCCUUCUCCGACCAGCUGCAAUCAAUCCUUCAAGACCUACUGGACUUUUCUGCUGUGUCUUUGGAAUCCAUCCACUUUUCCUAGCCCCUUGAGCCCCCUCAGCCCACCUCCAGCCUCUCCAACCUGGGUGCUGCCCUCCCCUCCUGCCAGGUCUUCCUCUUUGUUUCCUCUGGACCCCCUGCAACUCAUCUGUCUCUCCCCUCUUCCCUCCAGGGGCUCCUCUUGCUGGCCUCAGGAUCCUCCAAGAUGCAGCACUGCCGAGCACUGUAGGUGCUUCAUAAAAAUUUGUGGAAUGAAUGAAAUGAAGGCGGGGAGGAGAUAGAGGAGAAGGGAGCAGAGAUCCUUGCCCAAAGGACAUAAAUAAACUCAGGGGAAGAAUGAAGCCUGGCUGUGAAUCCAGAGGGAGCAUCGGCACAGGCAGAGUAUUUUGUCCCCCUCGUUUUAAGUCAGGUGAUUAAAAUCCUGCUGCAAUAGGCUAGGCUUGGCCCUUGAAAGAGUCUGAGACCCAAACAUAGAAAAGGGUUUCUCUGAGGUCACCGAGUCCCUCUCCUUCUCUAUGCACCCUCUCUGCAGAGCCUAGAUAGGCAGUUAUGUCUCCUGUUCAGGAACCUUCCAGUGAUAGGGCAGUCCCUAUCCAUCAGGACCACCCUGCCGAGUGACCUCUGCCUCCUAGGAGUUGCAUGAUCACAAAGAGGAGAAUUAGGAACACGGGCCAAGUCCAGACAGGCUCAGGCUGCCCGGCACCUUCAGGUCUCCAGUUCCCCAGGGGUUUCCUCCCCAAGGAACCACUGGAAUUCCUCUGUCAGGAAGCGGAACCUCCCUCCAUCCACCCCCACCCCCAUCCUGGCUGCUGAUCUGGCCUCUCGCCAGGUGGUUAAUACUGCUCCUUGUGUUUGGAGCAAAGAACUAAACACAGAUCUCCCAGGAGCUUAGAGGGAAGCUGGCCAAACGUGGGGGAAGCUGAUGAGGAGUAUGAAAAUGCCGGUCUCCAUGCCAGGGAUGGACUCCAUUAGCUGGAGAAGUGGGCAUUCUCUAGAGCUGCCCCUGGAGCUGGGGGAAACACAGCUUAGGUAGGGAUGGGGCUCAUCCUGUGUCCAAUGCUCCAGCUUCUUGAUUUUUCUACCCCACCUACAAGCUCCAUCUGGAAAGAAUUGAGAAGAGCCUGGGCUGUCCCCUGUUCCCAUCCCAUCUUCCGCCUGCGCCCCUGCAGGGAGCCCCUCUGCCCCACCCCACUCUCCCUCCCAAUAAAGCAGACUCUCAGGAGAGACAUCGGACCUCACUCCGACUGGGCCAAUGACCUUGAAGCUGUCUCAAACCUGCUCCUCUGCAUUUUGCCCCAGGAUAUCCUGCAACUUGGAGAAAUCAUCUCAGAGGGGACCUUAUAACGGAGACCUUGUGGUUCCCAACUUCCACAUCCUUAGAAAUCAUAAACCCUCUGCAAUCAUCUCCAGAGACGGGGACGUGAUCAGCAGCCACUGUCUUCUUUCAUUCAGGUGGCACUCAGUCCAAUGUUCUGUUGGUCUGUAGCCACCACGAAGCUCAGUAUCUUAAAGCAAACAUUAUCAUCACCUCUUAUGUUGCUGUGGGUUGACUGGACUUCAUGGACAGCUUAUGCUCCACGUUUCCACAUGGGACUGUAGUCAGAGGUCCACUGGGAUGACAGAGGGGCUGGUCAUUCAAAGGUUUGACUGGUCUGGACCUCACAGAUGGUUCACUCAUGUUUCUGGGCUGUCCACCAGAACAACUACACAUAGCCUCUCCAUGGGGCUUGCCCAUCUCCUAACAUGGUGGCUGGUUUCCCAAGACAGAACCCAAGGGUCCCAGGCUGAAGCUGCAGGGCUUCUUAGGGACCAACCUUGGGAGUCUCUGAGCAUCAGUUCCACCCAUUCCAUUAGUCAAACAGACCCAAGCCCAGCCCAGAUUCAAGGUGAUGGAGAUAGGAGCUCACCUCUUUUUGUUGUUGUUGUUCUAAUUAAUUAAUCAUGAUAGCACAAUGCAGUUCAAUUCCUUGUACACAAAUAGGGUACAGCUUUUUGAUUAGAAAGAUGGAGGAACUCAUCUCUUAACUCGGGAGAGGCCGAGUCACCCUGCAGAAGAGCGUGUGGCAAGAAACCGCCCGGUAGUCAUCUCUGGAAGCUUCAUCUUCCAUAUGCAGCACCUGGUCUUCCCAGGUAAAAGAACUGUGCUAAUCUCAGGGGUGGGGGACAAGCACUGUCCCAGGAGUCAAACCAGCCCCGGACUUUCCUGUUCCACCCUGGAACCACCCGGCUGUCACCUACACUGACAAAGUUGCUGCUAAGUCCCCAAGGCUGCUAGGAGCUCCCCACAUGCUUUAAGGAGCAUUCUAAGGACAGCAGGAGAUCACCCGCUGCUUUGUUCUGCUCUAACAAGCCUCCGCCAAGCACUGGCUCACUCAUCCAUCCACCAACCAUUCGCCCAGGGCCCGCUUGGGCCAUCCCAGAGAGAAACCCACACAGCAGGAGAUGCAGUGGUCCAUGGAAGACGCGGACAGUCACAGAACACUGCACAGAUUAGCAGAGCUCCUUCAGCCGCUACAGAAACUCAAGUGAACCAGCGUUCUCACAAAGAGGGAUCCAGCCGCAGGAACAGAGGGAUCCAGCUAAUGAUCUAGGGAGAACCCACUGAUGUCAUCAUUUCUGCUUCUUCUCUGAUCUCACGUUUGUCACCUCUCCGACGUCAUGAGCGGGUCCUCUUGCAAGCCCAGUGGAUGCUCUUUGAAGUCUCAUCCAGGACUUCUCUGUGGUGCAGCUCCCCCGCUCACACACCUUCACGUGGGAUUUACCAGACUAUCAGAGGGAGGCCAAUGGGCCAGCCAGACAGCAUCUGUGACUUGUGAGGUCCAGGAUGAUCCGAGGACAGCCAUGGGCCCAACAAAGUGCAAUGACCUCCAUCUAAGUCGAGGGGAAAAGCCCAACUCAGAGAACAUCUGCCAACCCUCUCUACACCAGGCCCUGGGCUGGUUCCUGAAGGGAAAAGAACCUUCCCCAAGCAGGUCCCUGUCCUCAGGUGGGGCUCAAUCUAGUGGGAAUGUAUACUUAAUUCCAGUCCCUGACUUCUGGCGCCCAAGUUCUCAUCAAGAAAAAGCACAGUCAAUAAGAAGAUUAGCUAACGUUUAUUGAGGGCUUACUCAAUAUGCCAGGGUUUCCUGAGCAUUGUGAAAGCAUUAAAUUAUUUACUUACCACAGUAACCCUGGGUGGCAUGCUGGGGCCGGCUCCUAGCCGCUCACGAGAGCCAGUUGUUAAAUUUUCAGGAAUUUUACAAGCAGGGUGUUAAAUACAGCUAUUAUUUUUAAAAAAUUAAAUUACAUAA